AUGAAGGAGAGGAGCUCUUUAUGUGAUAGUGCAGCAGAUGGAAAUUGGGUUUCAAAAUUCAAAAGAAAGCGAAGCAAGUUAACAGCUAGCUCGUCAAAUGAGCAUGAGGCUACAUCACCAACAUCGGACUCUAUAAUGAACAAUGGUUCCAUAAAAAAGAGGUCCAAGCAUGACACUAGCAUUUCUACAUCAGCCAAGAAGAUAAGAGGACACGAUGGGUAUUUCUAUGAGUGUGUAGAAUGUGACCUUGGUGGCAAUUUGUUGUGUUGCGAUAGCUGUCCACGGACAUACCACUUGGAAUGUCUUAACCCCCCCCUUAAGCGUGCACCGCCUGGGAACUGGCAAUGCCCAAGAUGUCGUACGAAACAAGUUAGCUUGAAGUUGUUAGGAAAUGCGGAUGCUGACACUUCCAAACGUGAAAGAACAAGGAGAAUGCGUACAAGCACCAUAGCAGAUAGCCCAUCUCCCCAUAACAAAGUCUCUCUGAAUACCCGGAGUCCCAUACAAGAGAAAAGUGAAUCAAACGAACAAGUAAAACUAUCAUGCCCUGGUGCAUUGAAGGAAGGUGAUCUCAGUGUGAAGGACAAUGAAGUUCAGAAAAAGAAGCCAUUGAUAGUACAUUUGAAGAGGCGCUCGACCAAAGAAUUAUCUGCAAUUACGAAGCCCUUGAAGUCAGGAUUCAUUGGCCAGUCUUCAGAAGAGAAACGGGAGAAACAUGGAGGUGCUUUGAAAAUGAAGAAACAUCUGCGCUCCAUGGACUUGUCUCCAAAGAAAUAUAAAACCAAGAGGCAGCAUAGUCACAAAGACUCUAAGCGAUCUGAAACAAAAAGGCUCAGAUAUUUGGCAACUGAUGUUGGCAGUGAUUCGUCAAUGGGGGCAUCUACAUCUCCUGAGCACUGCGAAUCACCACCAAAAAGGAGAUCUCUGGAUGGCAGAACACCUACAUCUAGUGCCAAGAAAGGGAAAAAGAAAGUGAAAUUUGUUGAUAAACAACAUUCAGAGGUGCUACCUGUGGCGGGGGAUAUGAUAAUAACUCCUCAGGAGGAUCUGCAGGUUGACCGCAUCCUAGGCUGUCGGCUUCAGACAAGCCAAAUCAUUUCGCAGCCCCAUGCUUUAUCAGAGCAGAUUGAAUUAACUAAUUUGCAGCUGGAAGGUGGGGUUCCUUCUAGUUCUUCCAGUGUGCCAACACAGCCGUUAAGAAAUGAUACUGACACCACUCCAGAGGAUGUAUGCGCUGAUGAAUCAGCACAUGAUCCCUGUGAAGAUCAUUUGGAUGGUGGUGAAAUGCAAAAGGAGAAUAAUGGAAAAUACCAUGAAAAGGAGUCAGUGAACCCAGAGGAAGCCACAAAGACACUGUCAGAUUGUUGCACCGACCAAAUCAUCACAGUAAAGGAUGCUGGAGUAGUAGGAGAGAACAUACCUUCAGUAAAUGGUGACUUUGAGGCAGUAUCUGAUGUUCCAGUUGAAGGAACAUCGGAAAAGGGUGAUAUCAAACUUUCAGUUUCCGAAGUUGAUGCAACUGUGCAGACCAAACAAGAGUUGACACCUGAAAGUAAAGUCCAUGGAAACAUAAACGAAAUUGCAGGAAAUGGCCAUGAUGAUACUGCAUAUGAAUUUUUGGUCAAAUGGGCUGGAAAAUCAAACAUCCAUAAUAGCUGGAUUUCUGAAUCUGAACUAAGAACAUUAGCAAAACGGAAACUAGAAAAUUACAAAGCAAAGUAUGGAAUGGGUUUGAUAAACAUUUGCAAGGACCAAUGGUGCCAACCACAACGCGUUAUUUCUCUGCGUGUUUCCUUAGAUGAAGUAGAAGAGGCUUUAAUCAAAUGGUGUGGCCUUCCUUAUGAUGAAUGCACCUGGGAAAGAUUAGAUGAACCUAUCAUGCUGAAGUAUGUCCAUUUGGUUACUCAGUUCAAAAACUUUGAAUGCCAAGCUUUGGACAGGGAUGUGAGAGGUAACCGUGCAAAUGCAAGAAACCGCCAAGAGCUGACUGUGUUGAUUGAGCAGCCAAAAGAACUUAAGGGGGGCAUGCUCUUCCCACAUCAACUGGAAGCAUUGAACUGGCUGCGUAAAUGUUGGUGCAAGUCAAAAAAUGUUAUCCUUGCUGAUGAGAUGGGUCUUGGGAAGACGGUGUCAGCUUGUGCUUUUCUGUCGUCCUUGUGCUGUGAAUUCAAGAUUAACUUGCCUUGUCUUGUCUUGGUUCCUCUUUCUACUAUGCCUAACUGGAUGGCUGAAUUUGCAUCUUGGGCGCCUCAUUUAAAUGUUGUGGAGUAUCAUGGUUCUGCACGGGCAAGAUCUACAAUUCGUCAAUAUGAGUGGCAUGAAGGCGAUGCAACCCAGAUAGGUAAAAGCAAAAAGUCUCACAAGUUCAAUGUCUUGCUUACCACUUAUGAGAUGGUGCUUGUUGAUGCUACAUAUCUUCGUUCUGUGCCAUGGGAAGUUCUUAUAGUUGAUGAAGGGCAUCGUCUAAAGAACUCUAGCAGUAAACUCUUCAAUUUGCUCAAUACAUUUUCAUUUCAGCACAGGGUUUUGUUGACUGGAACCCCAUUACAGAACAACAUUGGUGAAAUGUAUAAUUUGUUGAACUUCCUACAGCCUGCUUCUUUCCCUUCUCUAGCAUCAUUUGAGGAGAAGUUUAAUGAACUUGCAACAGCAGAGAAAGUGGAGGAGCUGAAGAAACUGGUAGCACCACAUAUGCUUCGAAGGCUGAAAAAAGAUGCAAUGAAAAAUAUCCCCCCGAAGACAGAGCGAAUGGUGCCUGUCGAACUGACAUCAAUCCAGGCUGAAUACUACCGUGCUAUGCUUACAAAGAACUACCAAGUACUGCGUAAUACCGGAAAAGGUGGUGCUCAUCAGUCAUUGCUCAAUAUAGUAAUGCAGCUUCGGAAAGUUUGCAACCAUCCAUAUCUUAUUCCUGGAACUGAACCCGAAUCAGGUUCACCAGAGUUUUUGCAUGAAAUGAGAAUAAAGGCCUCAGCAAAGUUAGCUUUGUUGCAUUCUAUGCUCAAAGUGUUACACAGUGAUGGGCAUCGUGUUCUUAUUUUUUCUCAGAUGACUAAACUUCUUGACAUCCUCGAAGAUUAUCUGACUCUGGAAUUUGGUCAUAAAGCAUUUGAAAGAGUAGAUGGUUCGGUGUCUGUGGCUGAGCGCCAGGCAGCUAUUACUCGUUUCAAUCAGGACAAGACCCGUUUUGUAUUUUUGUUAUCUACACGGUCAUGUGGUCUUGGGAUCAAUUUGGCAACUGCAGACACUGUUAUCAUAUAUGAUUCUGAUUUCAAUCCGCAUGCUGAUAUACAGGCGAUGAAUAGGGCACACAGGAUUGGGCAGUCAAACAGACUUUUAGUGUACAGGCUUGUAGUGCGUGCUAGUGUUGAGGAGCGUAUCUUGCAACUUGCCAAGAAGAAAUUGAUGCUUGAUCAACUUUUUGUUAACAAAUCAGAAUCACAGAAGGAAGUGGAAGAUAUCAUUCGCUGGGGAACUGAGGAGCUCUUCAGGAAUAACGAUGAGGUGAAUGGUAAAGAUAAUGAUGAAGCUUCUGGUGCUAAACAUGAUGUAUCUGAUAUUGAGGUUAAGCAUAGGAGGAAAACUGGUGGCCUAGGUGAUGUUUAUGAGGAUAAAUGUAUUGGCAGUUCUACCAAGCUUAUUUGGGAUGAAAAUGCUAUUAUGAGGCUUCUUGAUAGAUCUAGCCUUCCAACAACUGUAGCUGAAAGCACCGAUGGGGAUUUGGACAAUGAUGAUAUGCUUGGCACUGUAAAGUCAAUCGAUUGGAAUGAUGAUAUAAAUGAUGAUCCCGGUGCUGCUGAGGACAUUCCAAAUAUUGACAACGAUGGUUGUGAACAGGCAUCCGAAACAAAACAUGAUGCAGCUAAUCCUGUGGAAGAAAAUGAAUGGGAUAAACUUUUACGUCUCAGAUGGGAGCAAUAUCAAAUCGAAGAGGCAUCCCUUGGUCGAGGCAAGCGCUUAAGGAAAGCUGUUUCUUACAGGGAAACCUUUGCAGCAAUUGCCAAUGAAGCAUUAAGUGAGGAUUCUGACGAUGGGGAUGAACCCAAGCGAGAAUACACUGCAGCUGGACUGGCUUUGAAGGAAAAAUAUGGAAAGCUCCGAGCUAGACAGAAGGAAAGGAUUGCUCAGCGGCACACAAUCAAGAGCUAUGCUGAUGAUAAACUUGAAGAUUUCAUAAAACUAUAUGACUCUAGUGUUAAUGAAUAUGGUGUAAACCCUUUGAGAGUUGUAGAAGAUCCUGACUCUGUGCAGCCAUCUGGGGCUAAACGUUUCAGUGAUUCAACUGCAGAAAUGAGGCAUUCCUCGAAGAAAGCAAAGAGAUAUCCUGAAAUCUCUCGAGAGCUUCAUGCCAAACUUGCUGCGAGUGCUACUUCGUCGAAGCACCACUCAAAGGCAACUGAUGUCUUAAAUCAAGGGACUCCACAUCACCUCUUACCUGUCCUUGGCCUUUGUGCUCCGAAUGCUGAUCAGGUAAACUCGUACAAGAAUUCAAAUUGUGGGCCAAACAUGAAAGAGCAAAAACCAGCUAGUGGUGAAGUAUUCAACAAGCCACUGUCACCUUCUGCUGCCGAGUAUUCUAGUGAAUUCAAAAAUCAGGGCCAAUUGGAUCCCAGCAAGACUAUGUUUCCUGGUUCAUCCGAAGCUUUGCGAAGGCUGAGUAACAUCAUUCCAGAUAGCUAUUUCCCCUUCAAUCCUAUUCCUCCUAUAUCUGGGAAGGGGCUUUGUGACCCUGUUGAAAAUCCUUUACCUUCUAUUGCUUCAUUUCAAGGGAAGAUGGGUCUUCCGAACUUUGGUCUGGAAGACAAUAUUCCACUCAGUCAUAUGAAGUCAGUACCAGAUCUAUUUCCCAACUUCCCACUGGGCACUAAUAAGGAGUAUGCUCGUAAUUCUAUCCCAGAAUUGCCAAACAGUUCAUUUUUACCGAACUUCAUGGCAGAUAUUGCUGGAAGUUCAAAAAAGGCGAGGUCAAAAUUCAUGGCAGAUAUGUCUGCCCUUCUUCCUGGGCUAGGUAUUAGCCCAGUUCAACCAAUCCAUUCAGCCAUGCCUGAAAAUCACAAGAAGGUAUUGGACAAUAUAAUGAUGCGUGCUCAGUAUGCCACAAAUAAAUUCAUGAAAAAGAGGUCAAAACCUGAUUAUUGGUCGGAAGAUGAACUUGAUGCUUUGUGGAUUGGAGUUCGUAGGCAUGGAAGGGGUAACUGGGAUGCCAUGCUUAGAGAUCCAAAGUUGAAAUUUUUGAACCACCGCACUAGUGAACAGCUAGCAUUGAGAUGGAUUUUGGAGGAGCAGAAAAUUAUGGAGGAACCAAUGCCUACAGCCACCAGAAGUUCCAACUCCACAUUUCCUGGUUUAUCUGAUGCCAUGAUGUCUCGGGCACUAAGUGGAAGCAACUUCUCUAAACUUAAGAUGGAGCCUCCUAAGUUGCAGUCCCACCUAACUGAUAUUCAAUUAGGUUGCAGUGAUAUACCAUCUAGAUUUCCUCAUAUUGAGCCUUCGAGUUACAUGAGUGAGGGUGGCCCAUCACUGGCACCAUGGAAGGAUUUCAAGAAUAAAACAGGUUAUGGUGGGGAUUUUCCUGGAAGCACAUCUGACAAGUGGGAGAAAGCUGAUGUUGGACUGGUCCCACCAUAUAUGCCAAAUCCUUUUAUGAUGGAAAGUAUUGGUUCACUACCCAUAAACAUACCAAACAGUAGUUCGAUCCAGCAGAAUGAAUUUGCAUCAAGUUCUCAUGAGAACAUUCUUCUUCAUAGUGUCACAGAUGGGCAGGCCGACUUGUUUCACGAGAUGCAGCGGCGUGUGAGGUUAGGUAAACAGCCCAUUGAAAUGAAUCUGUAUCACACAAAGCACUCAAGUCCUCUACUUGAAAACGCUGGCAUAUUUGGAAGUUCCAGAUCAAACAAGCUACCGCAUUGGCUGCAGGAGGCCGUGCGCGCUCCAUCUAAGCCAAUUGAAUGUGAACUACCAGCAACUGUUUUAGCAAUUGCAGAGUCUGUGUGCCUACUUCUUGGAGAACAAAAACCAGCAAUACCUCCAUUCCCAUUCCAAGGACCUCGCCUUUCUCGCCCAAAGGACCCGAGAAAUACUCCAAAGAAGAGAAGAGUACAUAAGGUUCAGCAAGCAGAGCAUCCCAAAAUUGGAUCUGGGCAAGGUGAUCAAAUAUCUGCUCCAGCACCAAAAUUAAUGGAAGCUCCACCUACUUCUGCAAUUGAUCAGACUAAUGAUGCCCCUUCACUAAACUUGAACUCUCCAUCAUCUUCUUCCGCUGGCAGUCAGAGGCAAGACGUGAUACCUCCUGCUUUUGAAGAAACACGCAAUACAAUGGAAGUUUCAGAAGCUGUUGCUGCUGCUUGCACGGCCAGGUCAGAGGCUCCUGAAACUGGUUGUCAGAGAGAUGAAUUCUUUGGGUUAGAUGGCAUUACCAGUGGGUCUUGUAGAUCACCAACGGGGAAUGCUCCUGACGCUGGUGCUCCAAGGAGGGGAUUGUCGGGACCUGCAGAGUUCUCUUUGCUGACAGUAGUUGAUGCAACUGGAUUAAGUACCACACGGGCAGUAGGACCUGUAUCAAGUGAUGAUCAGGAGCCAGAACAAGAAAAUCUAUUAGACAGUGACAAGCACAUUGGCGACACGGAGAAGCUGUUGGAGAAACCUACACCACCUGACGAGAGUAGGGAUUCAGGUGCAUCACAGUCAGUUUCAGCUCAGAUAGUUGAUGAAUAUAAAGUCGACAUGGUCGCAGAUGAGCGUUAG
Molecule: ribosomal RNA, 6744 nt
Filed under: Triticum aestivum (bread wheat)
Lineage: Eukaryota; Viridiplantae; Streptophyta; Magnoliopsida; Poales; Poaceae
Description: partial small subunit ribosomal RNA
Source: RNAcentral